CUACUCUAAAAUAAUUGCAUAACGAUGGUUGUUCGUUUGUUAUUAUUCCAUAAUAUACAGGCCAAAUCAUGGCUGACACCGACAGCAAGAAGAUCGAUCUACCAGACGGGCUAUGCGUUGAAAUAUCUCCUGACGGUUGUACAUACCACGAUGGUCUUUGCUUCCAUUGUUUGGUAACUGACGUCUACUACCCCACUAUGGAUGACUGCAAGAGCAAUUGCAACAAAUCCUCGUCUUUACAAGACGUGCUAGUUGCCAUGACAACCUCCCCUCCUCCUCCUUUAUCUGCUCCUUAAUUUUCCGGCCUAGACAAUGGUUAUAUGUACAAGAUUGUCCCCUGAAAAUAAUGCCUAUGUGCGGAAACCAGUUAUGCAAUGCGAGUAAUAUACUGCAGCAGUUGUUGCUGAGUAUUUUGGUUUGGCAAAUCACAUUUGAACCUUUACUAGGAAUUGUUGGGAGAGCGAUGAAAUGACUCGCAAGCGCAGAUGCUCCGGAAAUCCGAGUGGUACAGCUUAGCUUGGGAUCUGUGUCGGUUAAAUCUGUGUCACAUAUACGUUUUAGAAUACAGAGGUGAAUACAUCUGCAGAUGGGCUAUACUGGACCAUAGUACUAACUCCUCGCAAAGUCGCAAGUCUCCUCUCUUCAAGUCCAUCGAUGUCCCAUGCAAAAUAAAAUGAAAUAAGUCCAUCGAUCUCUCACUUAAAAAGAGUCCUAUGGCUGUGGAUGACCAGGGAGGCCGCCCUUGGCCAAUAUCCGGCACCGGUGAGUUCGUAUACCCUGUCAUGGUGGGUUUCUCAUCUAUCCUACCUCUCAUGAGGCGUCCGGUUCUUGUCUUUCCCAAGCUCACAUUAAUAUUCCCAAAUCAGCCAUCGGCCGGCCUUGGCGACAUCAUCUUCAUCCACUCCCGUGCUGCACACACCCAUUUCUCUGAUCUCUUAAAGCAACUCUAGCCGAGCCCAUAAAAGAUACAGGAGUAUUUGGCCGGGUAAACCUUAAUGGAGUAAAUUUAGUCCACUAAGUUUUGGUCGGUUCUAGCUGAUCCCCUAAAUUUAGCGGAGUAAAAUAAAAUUUGGUUAAGAUGAACAUAGAUUCGAUCUAAACAAACUUCUAAACUGAAAUUCGACACGUAAUUUACAUUAUCAUCCGUCGAAACAUAGUUCAAAGCGAUACUAAAACUUGAACUCAAACAUAAGCUAAAAUCUAAAUCUAACCAAAAAAAUUAGUCGCUAUUCGACUUUGCGAGGGAGAGCAAGUCCUCCCUAGAGAUUCCACCGCCCAUGGGGUCAGUCCCUAGGUCGUCUUUGUUGUAUCCAGGAAGGUCCUUCACCACUUAUCGAUGUUGAAGCUGUCAUCGUUGCCGCCUCCACUGCCACCAUUGUUGCCGCCUCCACCGAGCCAGCUCGUCAUCGACCAGCGCCCACGUGCAUCUAGGGAUCAUACAUUCAACAGGGGGUGACUCCAUGAGUCAGGUGAUCCACAAAAACCGCAUGAGCUAGAGUCCACCAUAUGGCUGUGUGCCCAAUAUCAUUUGUUGCUAAAGAAUGUAUGGAUAGAUGCCAAAGGAACAGCCUCACGUUUCCCGGCACUAGAACUUUCCAUAAACUUUUCCAUGAGCCCUCUUCAGCAGCCGAGGUGGAGGAACCAUCCCUUUGAUCUAAGCAUGACUAUUGGAGAAUUAAUUACAAUUAUGAAAUAUACAAAUAUAGACAUAGGAGAUAAGUCCAACCAAAUUUGGGAACUUGUCUAAAAAGGGAGAAAAUUAGUCUGACUUGAUUUGUGCUUUUAAUGAGGGUUCAUAUUAUAGGAUGAUAUUAAAUAAAUCCAAUUUUAUUGCUUGAUGGUUUACACGGGAUAAGGAUGACCAGUUCUCUCUUCUCUCAAUAUAUACGAUCGAUUCAUGUGCUCAUUGGUAACCAAACAUUUCUCAUCGACAACCAAAGUGACCUGAGAGCUUGCGUAGCUAGUGUUGUAUCUGGUUGGCCAUGGACAAGUACACGAUUCGCAUCCUUGCACUAGGAGCCCUAGUGUGUCUACAUCUCGUAUGCUCUGCUACUGUUGCUCAAUGUAAGGCAGCUAGCACACCGAUAUUUAUGUAUCUUCACAAUGCUUAAUUUUUCUUCACUUGUCCUGGCUGGAAGUAUGUACCUAGUAUAGCUAUCAAAGGCCUUUCUAUUUUGCUUUGUAACUGGUUCCAUCGUUUAUAUGCAUAUAUAUACAUACACACUACUCUAAAAUAAUUGCAUAACGAUGGUUGUUCGUUUGUUAUUAUUCCAUAAUAUAUAGGCCAAAUCAUGGCUGACACCGAUAGCAAGAAGAUCGAUCUACCAGACGGGCUAUGCGUUAAAAUAUCUCCUGAUGGUUGUACAUACCACGAUGGUCUUUGCUUCCAUUGUUUGGUAACUGACGUCUACUACCACACUAUGGAUGACUGCAAGAGCAAUUGUAACAAAUCCUCGUCUUUACAAGACGUGCUAGUUGCCAUGACAACCUCCCCUCCUCCUCCUUUAUCUGCUCCUUAAUUUUCCGGCCUAGACAAUGGUUAUAUGUACAAGAUUGUCCCCUGAAAAUAAUGCGUAUGUGCGGAAACCAGUUAUGCAAUGCGAGUAAUAUACUGCAGCAGUUGUUGCUGAGUAUUUUGGUUUGGCAGAUCACAUUUGAACCUUUACUAGCAAUUGUUGGGAGAGCGAUGAAAUGACUCGCAAGCGCAGAUGCUCCGGAAAUCUGAGUGGUACAACUUAGCUUGGGAUCUGUGUCAGUUAACUCUUUGUCACAUAUACGUUUUAGAAUACAGAGGUGAAUACAUUUGCAGAUGGGCCAUACUGGACCAUAGUACUCAGUACUCGCAAAGUCACAAGUCUCCUCUCUUCAAGUCCAUCGAUGUCCCAUGCAAAAUAAAAUGAAAUAAGUUCAUCGAUCUCUCGCUUAAAAAGAGUCCUAUGGCUGUGGAUGACCAAGGAGGCCGCCCUUGGCCAAUAUCCGGCACCAGUGAGUUCUUCUACCCUGUCAUGGUGGGUUUCGCAU
This 3021-nucleotide long non-coding RNA is filed under the name Triticum aestivum (bread wheat). Its description in RNAcentral is "long non-coding RNA (TAES_LNC011022)". The record is from RNAcentral. Lineage: Eukaryota; Viridiplantae; Streptophyta; Magnoliopsida; Poales; Poaceae.